UUUGAGUAUUAUAGAAGGUAACGCCUGCCCAGUGACUAUAUGUUAAACGGCCGCGGUAUACUGACCGUGCAAAGGUAGCGUAAUCACUUGUCUUUUAAAUGGAGACUAGUAUGAAUGGCAUCACGAGAACUAAUCUGUCUCCCCCCCCCAAUCAGUGAAACUGAUCUCCCCGUGCAGAAGCGGGGAUAAUACCAUAAGACGAGAAGACCCUGUGGAGCUUAAAAUCAAAAAUCAACUGCUUCACCCACCUUUACUAAAGGAAACAUUUUCCACAGACCUGAUCUAGAUUUUUAGCUGGGGCGGCUGUGGAGAAAAACAAAUCCUCCACGAAUAUUUAUGCUAAAAGCUACCGCCAUAGGCAUUAAUAAACUUAACUUUAAUUGACCCAAUUUUUGAUCAACGGACCA
Molecule: ribosomal RNA, 407 nt
Filed under: Leptobrachella minima
Lineage: Eukaryota; Metazoa; Chordata; Amphibia; Anura; Megophryidae
Description: Leptolalax minimus partial 16S ribosomal RNA
Rfam family: Bacterial large subunit ribosomal RNA
Source: RNAcentral